Molecule: non-coding RNA, 266 nt
Organism: Ciona intestinalis (vase tunicate)
Lineage: Eukaryota; Metazoa; Chordata; Ascidiacea; Phlebobranchia; Cionidae
Source: RefSeq, a predicted model, not a curated record
UAAAAGAAAUAACAUGAACAAGUCAGCACUUCUACUUUUGCUUCUCAUCGGACUUCUCGUCCUCACUGAAACUACUACUUCUUGGUGGAUAACUCGUCGUCGUCGCCGUCGUUAUUAUUAUCGUCGUCGUCAUAACCAAGAGAAAAUGCCACAAAUGAACGAAGAUUCAGACAUGAAUUUCGUCAAAUCGAUUGUUGAAGAACAAUAAGUGUUCAUUUAUGUUUAAGCUGCAAAAGUACGGUUUUAAUAAAUUGAACUUCCGCAAA